Molecule: ribosomal RNA, 499 nt
Filed under: uncultured bacterium
Lineage: Bacteria
Description: bacterial SSU rRNA
Rfam family: Bacterial small subunit ribosomal RNA
Source: RNAcentral
GAUGAACGCUAGCGGCAGGCUUAAUACAUGCAAGUUGAGGGGCAGCAUGAUAUACGCGAGUAUAUUGAUGGCGACCGGCGGACGGGUGAGUAAUAGGUAGGAGACCUACCUCAUACAGGGGGAUAGCAUAGAGAAAUCUGUGGUAAUACCCCAUGAGGUUAUAUGAAUAGAGGCAUAUAAUCAAAGCAUAAGCGAUUAUGCGGUAUGAGAGGGGCCUACUGGCCAUUAGCUAGUUGGUGAGGUAAGGGCUCACCAAGGCGAAGAUGGUUAGGGGUUUUGAGAGAGAGACCCCCCACAUUGGAACUGAGAGACGGUCCAGACUCCUACGGGAGGCAGCAGUAGGGAAUAUUGGGCAAUGGGCGAAAGCCUGACCCAGCCAUGCCGCGUGAAGGAAGACGGCCUUAUGGGUUAGUAAACUUCUUUACUACGCGAAUAGAGGUUAGUACGAGAUACUAAUAGGAAGGUAGUGUAGUAAAAGCAACCGGCUAACUCCGUAGCC